Molecule: ribosomal RNA, 484 nt
Filed under: uncultured bacterium
Lineage: Bacteria
Description: partial 16S ribosomal RNA
Rfam family: Bacterial small subunit ribosomal RNA
Source: RNAcentral
GACGAACGCUGGCGGCGUGCUUAACACAUGCAAGUCGAACGAUGAAGCCGGGGCUUGCUCUGGUGAAUUAGUGGCGAACGGGUGAGUAACACGUGAGUAACCUGCACUUGACUCUGGGAUAACUGCGGGGAACUGUAGCUAAUACCGGAUACGACCCUCGGAGGCAUCUCCUGGGGGUGGAAAGAAUUUCGGUCAAGGAUGGACUCGCGGCCUAUCAGCUAGUUGGUGAGGUAAAGGCUCACCAAGGUGACGACGGGUAGCCGGCCUGAGAGGGUGACCGGCCACACAGGGGCUGAGACACGACCGAGACACCUACGGGAGGCUGCAGGGGGAAAUGUUGCACAAUGGGCGGAAGCCUUGUGCGGCAACGCCGCGUGAGGGAUGACGGCCUUCGGGUUGUAAACCUCUUUUAGCAGGGAAGGAGCGAAAGUGACGGUACCUGCAGAAAAAGCAGCGGCUAACUUCGUGCCAGCCGCCGCCGUAA